CCUACGGGGGGCUGCAGUGGGGAAUUUUGCGCAAUGGGGGAAACCCUGAUCCAGCGACGCCGCGUGAAGGAUGAAGGCCUUCGGGUUGUAAACUUCUUUUGGAGGGGACGAAUAAAUUGACGGUACCCUCAGAAAAAGCCACGGCUAACUACGUGCCAGCAGCCGCGGUAAUACGUAGGUGGCGAGCGUUACUCGGAAUUACUAGGCGUAAAGCGUAUGUAGGCGGUUGUAUAAGUCUAUGGUGAAAUUUCCUGGCUCAACUGGGAAGGGACAUAGAUACUGUAUAGCUUGAGUGUUGGAGGGGGAGACGGAAUUCCUGGUGUAGCGGUGAAAUGCGUAGAUAUCAGGAGGAACACCGAUGGCGAAAGCAGUCUCCUGGCCAAAUACUGACGCUGAGGUACGAAAGCGUGGGUAGCAAACAGGAUUAGAUACCCGAGUAGUC
RNAcentral lists this ribosomal RNA (442 nucleotides) under uncultured bacterium. RNAcentral describes it as "bacterial SSU rRNA". It matches the Rfam family "Bacterial small subunit ribosomal RNA", at positions 338 to 795 of the family's 1533-position model. The record is from RNAcentral.